This is a non-coding RNA of Carica papaya (papaya), 836 nucleotides long. NCBI's taxonomy places the organism in Eukaryota, Viridiplantae, Streptophyta, Magnoliopsida, Brassicales, Caricaceae. The record is from RefSeq and is a predicted model, not a curated record.
UUUUCGUUUUGAGCAUCUAAUAAUUCUUCAUCUUGAACAUGGUUUUAAGAUAAUGUGAUUGAGUUUUCAAGAUCCAUCAGGUGGGAAAACAAUAUUUUUUACCCUUGUACAUGAUCCAACAAAACCUGUUUCAUUUAUGAAGGAGAUAGAUAUGGUGGAUGAUUAAAGGUCAGUCAGUCACUUGACUGCUUUAUGCUGGAAAUUUGAUCAAUCUCCAGACAAUGAAAAUGAACUAGCAGUGUCUCACUUACCAAUAAAGCCUGCAGAAUAGGCUUAUAUAAAGGCUUUGUCUUGCAUAAUUCUUUUUGCAGUGACUUUGAUAUGUUCUGCAGAUACUCAAUGGAAACAUCAGCUGCAUAAAAUCGAUAAAAAGAUGUCGAAUGCAAUUCUUUCGAAAGGCUUUUCGAGAAGAACUCUCGAGUGGAGAUGAAUAUUUUAAGUCACCCACAAACUAAAACCAAUCACCAUUAUCGAGCAAGCUGGUUUAGACGCUUUCCCAUCAAUUCUUUCGCGUACAUACCUCGAAGCAAGACGAGAAGACAUUAAUGGUGUGCUUUCAAAAUAUUGCCAAACUAUAACAUAUACUUCUCUCUGGAUUUUGCUCAAAGAGCAGAAAAAGAUAAGUUAGAUGGAAUUUUCUGUACAUAUAAAGAAAUUAAAGAGAAACUCAUAAGAGAAAAAGUAAGAAAAAUUAAAACUUUGAGAGUAGAUUCAUUCGAAGAAUUAUCGUAAAAUAUUAUUUUUUCGAAAAAUUUUUGGUAUUGUUAUUAUUAUUAUUAUUGUAAUUUACGCAAGUGAAAUAAAGGAAUCCUUAGGAACAGAUAAUAUUAAGAUGA